RNAcentral lists this ribosomal RNA (464 nucleotides) under uncultured bacterium. RNAcentral describes it as "partial 16S ribosomal RNA". It matches the Rfam family "Bacterial small subunit ribosomal RNA", at positions 29 to 507 of the family's 1533-position model. The record is from RNAcentral.
ACGAACGCUGGCGGCGUGCUUAACCCCUGCAAGUCGAACGGAAAGGCCCUGCUUGCCGGGUACUCGAGUGGCGAACGGGUGAGUAACACGUGGGUGAUCUGCCCUGCACUUCGGGAUAAGCCUGGGAAACUGGGUCUAAUACCGGAUAGGAGCCAUUUUUAGUGCGAUGGUUGGAAAGUUUUUUCGGUGUAGGAUGAGCUCGCGGCCUAUCAGCUUGUUGGUGGGGUAAUGGCCUACCAAGGCGGCGACGGGUAGCCGGCCUGGGAGGGUGGACGGCCACAUUGGGACUGAGAUACGGCCCAGACGCCUACGGGAGGCAGCAGUGGGGAAUAUUGCACAAUGGGCGCAAGCCGGAUGCAGCGACGCCGCGUGGGGGAUGACGGCCUUCGGGUUGUAAACUCCUUUCGCUAGGGACGAAGCUUUUUGUGACGGUACCUAGAUAAGAAGCACCGGCUAACUACGUG